RNAcentral lists this long non-coding RNA (1322 nucleotides) under Homo sapiens (human). RNAcentral's name for it is "long intergenic non-protein coding RNA 879". Lineage: Eukaryota; Metazoa; Chordata; Mammalia; Primates; Hominidae. The record is from RNAcentral.
GUGUCCGCCAUCUUGGGGCGACGGCCAGAAGUCCAGGGCUAGGAGCCUCAGCCGGCGGACGCCAGGAAACAGCCAAGAACUGAACCAAAAUACAAACAACAUAAACUACCACUUGAUGAGAAGAACUUCAAAGUCAAAUUGCAAAAGGUGACUAAAAAAGGGGAGUACUUUCAGCCGUUUUCAAAAUAAUCUAUGAUAUGUACUGGAAAACUUCUAAUAAUCCUUGUCAUUUUACAACUUUCCCACAGUUAGAUCAUCAGCAAAUGUCACUUGGAUCCCUAGCUAAAUUGUUCUUCCCAGAAAAUAGUUAUCUCCACUAUGGAAAGUAUUUUAUCAGAAGAAUUCGUAGAAGUAGAAUCUGUUUGUCUUCAGUUAAACAAAAGAAGAACCUCAUUGCUUUCCAACUGGGCCCCGGCCAUUUUCCAGUUGAAACAUCAAAUAUUUUAUUUGUGUCUUUCACUGCCAAUUAAAGGGCAACAGAAAUGGUACAGGCUCCCUCUGCAGUGGAAUUACCCUUAUGUCUUUUCUGUCUAUGCUGAUCCACCUGAUCUUGAACUGGUGCUAUUCCAUGGGGAAAAUUGGAACAUGGGGCAAUUAACACUUUCUCCACUUUAUCCCAUCAACAGGAAAUUGAAAUAUAACCAACUAACUCAGGAGACAUCAUGGAAGAUGUCACACAGUGAAUGAUGAUGAAGCAGAAUUUUUAAAAUGUGUAGGAUUACGAGAAGUGGGGUCAUUUUUCUUUGUGUAUGGUAUUGCUGAUGCAGUUUAAUGCUCCAUUACUUCUAAAUUUUCAUCAUAAGCUAGAUUUUCCAGUUGUGGUUUCUAUAAAGAAAAACAAACAUUCUGAAGACAGUUUUUCCAGAUUUAUUCCAGAUAUCGAUGAUUAACUUUUGAAGCACUCAUUAGGUGAAUAAACAAUAUUCCCUAUACCUAUAGAGUGGAAUACCACCCAGCAUCCUCUCACAUACAAAGAAAGAACAAAUUGCUGAUAGACACAGAUGUCCAUCAAUCUCAAAAGUCGUCAUGAAACCUCUGGAAGAAUUGAGCUGGUCGACUAUGCAAACAGUUGUCAAGAGCCUAUAAAAUAUGCAGCAUAAAAUUUUUCCUUUGUAGUCAAACCUGAUUAUUCCUCUUAGAUACUGGGAACAGAAUUUCACAGUCGUCAGAGAAUAUACCUUUUGUAUUUUCGUAUUAAAUAUGUACUCCUAUUACUUAACAAUUGUAGUUUAACUCCUUUUUUAGGUAAAAUUCUAAUUUUUCUCUUCUGUUAAAAAUUUCCAGUUCCAACACGAAGAUAAUAAAGAAUAUUAAUUUUAUCC